UACAGAGGGGGCAAGCGUUGUUCGGAAUUACUGGGCGUAAAGGGCGCGUAGGCGGCCUUCUAAGUCGAACGUGAAAUCCCCGGGCUCAACCCGGGAACUGCGUCCGAGACUGAAAGGCUUGAAUCCGGGAGAGGGAUGUGGAAUUCCAGGUGUAGCGGUGAAAUGCGUAGAUAUCUGGAGGAACAUCGGUGGCGAAGGCGGCAUCCUGGCCCGGUAUUGACGCUGAGGCGCGAAAGCCAGGGGAGCGAACAGG
RNAcentral lists this ribosomal RNA (253 nucleotides) under uncultured bacterium. Its description in RNAcentral is "partial 16S ribosomal RNA". It matches the Rfam family "Bacterial small subunit ribosomal RNA", at positions 524 to 776 of the family's 1533-position model. The record is from RNAcentral.